GCCUGACUGGCUCAGUCAGUAGAGCACACAACUUUCCAUCUCAUGGUCAUGAGUUCAAGUCCCAUGUUGGGCA
This 73-nucleotide transfer RNA is filed under the name Ailuropoda melanoleuca (giant panda). It matches the Rfam family "tRNA". Rfam says of the family: Transfer RNA (tRNA) molecules are approximately 80 nucleotides in length. Their secondary structure includes four short double-helical elements and three loops (D, anti-codon, and T loops). The record is from Rfam by way of RNAcentral. Lineage: Eukaryota; Metazoa; Chordata; Mammalia; Carnivora; Ursidae.